ACUCCUACGGGAGGCAGCAGUGGGGAAUAUUGGACAAUGGGCGCAAAGCCUGAUCCAGCCAUGCGCGUGUGUGAAGAAGGCCUUCGGGUUGUAAAGCACUUUCAGCGAGGAGGAAGGUGUUGUGUUAAUAGCACAGCAUUUUGACGUUACUCGCAGAAGAAGCACCGGCUAACUCCGUGCCAGCAGCCGCGGUAAUACGGAGGGUGCGAGCGUUAAUCGGAAUUACUGGGCGUAAAGCGCAUGCAGGUGGUUUGUUAAGUCAGAUGUGAAAGCCCGGGGCUCAACCUCGGAAUAGCAUUUGAAACUGGCAGACUAGAGUACUGUAGAGGGGGUAGAAUUUCAGGUGUAGCGGUGAAAUGCGUAGAGAUCUGAAGGAAUACCGGUGGCGAAGGCGGCCCCCUGGACAGAUACUGACACUCAGAUGCGAAAGCGUGGGGAGCAAACAGGAUUAGAUACCCU
Molecule: ribosomal RNA, 459 nt
Filed under: uncultured bacterium
Lineage: Bacteria
Description: bacterial SSU rRNA
Rfam family: Bacterial small subunit ribosomal RNA
Source: RNAcentral